Molecule: long non-coding RNA, 660 nt
Organism: Thunnus maccoyii (southern bluefin tuna)
Lineage: Eukaryota; Metazoa; Chordata; Actinopteri; Scombriformes; Scombridae
Exons: 3
Source: RefSeq, a predicted model, not a curated record
CAUGUUCUAGAACUGGACUGAAAUUAAAAGAAAGCAAAAAUUGCACAUGUAUUUAAUGCAGGAGAUUACUUUUCACAGUUAAGUCAGAGUUAGCAGGUCCUUCAGCUAUCAGCAUAAUGCCAGAUCAACCACCUCAAUACCAGUUAUUUAAUCUCAGGCCCUCUGCAGCUCAAACAAAUGUGGAUGCUUUGGUGUCAGCCUUGUGGCGUACACUCUUCCCAGGACAAUAUUUUGGACAAAACCACAGGCUGGAUCAUCUCUUUGCCAGGAUGUCCCACAGGCCAGAACUGGCAACCCUGCAAAUCUGUCCCUACUAUUUUGAUCAGGUCACUUACCAUCUUCCCACCAGAGACCAAGUGAAACACAUGGAGAGACACAACCUCAGGCUGCACUGCUUUGACACAUGGGCAAACCUAAAACGAGAACAGGAGCUAGCCAAUGAGAGGCAGUGGAGAAGUCAUUUAAGGAUUAACCAAGGACCCCGGCACAGCAGUGGCAUCAAUUUGAGUCGACUUAGUCAACUCCAAGAUCCAAACACUGGCAGGAGUAUAUCCACCAGACAGUACAUUUAUCUGAUGUACGGCCACCACUGCUAACUCCUUUUUUUUUGUUACCACUAAAUUUGUCUAAUUACAAAUAUUGUUCCUUUUAAAAGAUGAA